AUGAGCCUUUUUUGGAGCUAUGUAUCUCUAAUGUUACAAAAUUUUAGUUCUGCAUGGCUUUUUGUGGUGCAAUCAUACGGUAAGUUUUAAAAAUCUGGUGAGUGAUAAAUAAAAAGUACAGUGUGAAAGACGGCAGAAAGACAUUUUGUUUGUUUGUCUGCUGUUUUCUUUCUUGCUUGAUUUUCCUUAGGUUACAAGUGGGCUUCUGAUGAAGAAUUCAGCUAAACCUUUCUACAGAGCACAGACAAAAUGUGCUUUUCAGUGUUGAAGAAAUACAGGCUUCCUUGUUUACACUUGGAGUAUUCUUUAAUGAAGACAAUCCUUGAGGAAAGAAAUUCCUGGGCGGUAUUUUUUCCCCCUCUGGCUGGUGUAAAUCAGCAUAGAUCCAGGUUCAACAUUGGAGUAGUUCUGCUUUACCCGCCUGGAGAUGCUGACAGGGAAUGCUCUGCUGUUGUGGGGAAGUGCUGCGUUUCAACGGGAAGCCGCUUUGAAAGCCAUUGAGGCUGG
RNAcentral lists this long non-coding RNA (507 nucleotides) under Dromaius novaehollandiae (emu). RNAcentral's name for it is "lncRNA (ENSDNVG00000013922.1)". Lineage: Eukaryota; Metazoa; Chordata; Aves; Casuariiformes; Dromaiidae. The record is from RNAcentral.